RNAcentral lists this ribosomal RNA (445 nucleotides) under uncultured Actinomycetes bacterium. RNAcentral describes it as "bacterial SSU rRNA". It matches the Rfam family "Bacterial small subunit ribosomal RNA", at positions 28 to 505 of the family's 1533-position model. Lineage: Bacteria; Bacillati; Actinomycetota; Actinomycetes. The record is from RNAcentral.
GACGAACGCUGGCGGUGUGCUUAACACAUGCAAGUCGAACGCACUUUUAGUGAGUGGCGAACGGGUGAGUAACACGUGAGAAACCUGCCUCGAAGUUUGGGAUAAGCCCGGGAAACUGGGUCUAAUACCAAAUUCCUUGUUCAGAUCGAAUGGUCAGAUCAAGAAAGAUUUAUCGCUUUGAGAGGGUCUCGCGGACUAUCAGCUUGUUGGUAAGGUAACGGCUUACCAAGGCUAUGACGGUUAGCUAGUCUGAGAGGACGAUUAGCCACACUGGAACUGAGAUACGGUCCAGACUCCUACGGGAGGCAGCAGUCGGGAAUAUUGCACAAUGGACGAAAGUCUGAUGCAGCGACACCGCGUGAGGGAUUAAGGCCUUAGGGUCGUAAACCUCUUUCAGUAGGGAAGAAAAUGACGGUACCUACAGAAGAAGCUCCGGCCAACUACG